This 390-nucleotide long non-coding RNA is filed under the name Carica papaya (papaya). RNAcentral describes it as "long non-coding RNA (CPAP_LNC013334)". Lineage: Eukaryota; Viridiplantae; Streptophyta; Magnoliopsida; Brassicales; Caricaceae. The record is from RNAcentral.
UCUCGUUAAUUUACUCAUUAAUUAGACACAACAAGUAAUUAUAAAUACAUUAUCAAAUCAGUGAUAAGAUAAAAUUAAUUAACAAAAACACAACUAAUUAAUCAAUUUACACCUCCAGUAUUAAUCAUUUGCAAGUACGUUCUUCUUCAUGUAUUAGAUUGUAGGAAAGUAAUACAACUGACGGUAAAAAUAGACACAAUUGUGUAAAUAAAUAGUAGGAUAUUAUAUAACAACGCAAGAAAGGUGAUGGAAAGAAAAGUUGUUAUUUGGCAAAGAACAACAAAAGAAAUUCUUCAUUCAGUUAAAUUCAAAUUGUAAUUACUAAAAGCAUAUAGUUACUGAUAGAGAACCCAAAAUUAAGAAUUUGAUAAAUAUUAUUUAAUGGGGAUG